UACGUAGGUGGCGAGCGUUGUCCGGAUUUACUGGGAGUAAAGGGAGCGUAGGCGGACUUUUAAGUGAGAUGUGAAAUACCCGAGCUCAACUUGGGUGCUGCAUUUCAAACUGGAAGUCUAGAGUGCAGGAGAGGAGAAUGGAAUUCCUAGUGUAGCGGUGAAAUGCGUAGAGAUUAGGAAGAACACCAGUGGCGAAGGCGAUUCUCUGGACUGUAACUGACGCUGAGGCUCGAAAGCGUGGGGAGCAAACAGGAUUAGAUA
RNAcentral lists this ribosomal RNA (261 nucleotides) under uncultured prokaryote. Its description in RNAcentral is "partial 16S ribosomal RNA". It matches the Rfam family "Bacterial small subunit ribosomal RNA", at positions 524 to 784 of the family's 1533-position model. The record is from RNAcentral.